Molecule: long non-coding RNA, 2286 nt
Organism: Bos grunniens (domestic yak)
Lineage: Eukaryota; Metazoa; Chordata; Mammalia; Artiodactyla; Bovidae
Source: Ensembl
AUGGAGACGGGACUGCCGGUCGUCGGGUGUCCUGGAAGCCGAAUGCGAAUGCGGAGGGGCUCGCGGGCCGCGCGGAGGCAACCCAGGUCGGGCCAACGGGCCGCACCUCUCGUCGCGGGGCGUGCUGUACUUGAGCCGCACGACCCGCGACCGGACUCCAGCCUGCUGACGCCGGCCCGCCCCCCCGAACACCGCCAACACCAGACCAGCAAGCGCCUGGCCGGGCCCGGGGGCCCGAGGGGCUUCCAGGACCCCCCAUUGACCGGGAGGGCGUGCGUGCAUGCGUGCGCGCGGGGCCUGGGGGCUGGGCUGAGGGGUGCGGAGGUCUCGGCGCCCUCCCACCCGCGGCUACUCCAGACCCGGCCGCUGCUGAGCGGGCCUCCCCGAUCCCAUUCGCUGCUCAGGCCCGCGGCCCGGGAGGGGCUGGGGCUGCGGGGGGGAUCCAAGAAUCGGGACGCGGCGGGGGCUAAAGGACCUCUUCUGGUAGGCAAAAAGCCUCGAGCACCCGGGAUUCCCAGGUGGUCUCCCAUCCAAGAUACUAACCAGGCCCGACCCUGCUUAGCUUCCGAGAUCAGACGAGAUCGGGCGCCUUCAGGCUGAUACGGCCUGAGACGGUGGCGGUGGGCUCGGGGCGCCCUAAGAGCCUUGCGCUUCGCCUCCCUUUCGCUCUGCCCUGCAGGUCGGGCCAACGGGCCGCACCUCUCCGCGGGCGUGCUGUACUUGAGCCGCACGACCCGCGACCGGACUCCAGCCUGCUGACGCCGGCCCGCCCCCCCGAACACCGCCAACACCAGACCAGCAAGCGCCUGGCCGGGCCCGGGGGCCCGAGGGGCUUCCAGGACCCCCCAUUGACCGGGAGGGCGUGCGUGCAUGCGUGCGCGCGGGGCCUGGGGGCUGGGCUGAGGGGUGCGGAGGUCUCGGCGCCCUCCCACCCGCGGCCACUCCAGACCCGGCCGCUGCUGAGCGGGCCUCCCCGAUCCCAUUCGCUGCUCAGGCCCGCGGCCCGGGAGGGGCUGGGGCUGCGGGGGGGAUCCAAGAAUCGGGACGCGUGGCGGGGGCUAAAGGACCUCUUCUGGUAGGCAAAAAGCCUCGAGCACCCGGGAUUCCCAGGUGGUCUCCCAUCCAAGAUACUAACCAGGCCCGACCCUGCUUAGCUUCCGAGAUCAGACGAGAUCGGGCGCCUUCAGGCUGAUACGGCCUGAGACGGUGGCGGUGGGCUCGGGGCGCCCUAAGAGCCUUGCGCUUCGCCUCCCUUUCGCUCUGCCCUGCAGGUCGGGCCAACGGGCCGCACCUUUCGUCCCGGGCGUGCUGUACUUGAGCCGCAAGACCCGCGACCGGACUCCAGCCUGCUGACGCCGGCCCGCCCCCCCGAACACCGCCAACACCAGACCAGCAAGCGCCUGGCCGGGCCCGGGGGCCCGAGGGGCUUCCAGGACCCCCCAUUGACCGGGAGGGCGUGCGUGCAUGCGCGCGGGGCCUGGGGGCUGGGCUGAGGGGUGCGGAGGUCUCGCGCCUCCCACCCGCGGCCACUCCAGACCCGGCCGCUCUCGCUGAGCGGGGCCUCCCCGAUCCCAUUCGCUGCUCAGGCCCGCGCGGCCCCGGACGUGUCGGUCUUCGGCGCCCGCCGCCUCCCAACCCCCGCGGCCCAGGGGCCUCUGAACCUCCUGCGGGCCUAGGCGCAGCGAAACUUGAGCGCCCAACUUGCCCGGCACCUGUCCGUGCCCAAACCCACCAGAAGCCAGGGAGGCGCGGUCGACCGGAGCGCCUCAGCCCCUCCCCUUCGCACUACCGAGGCCCCCCCUUUGCCCCCACGCCAAGCCCUCGACCUUCCUGAGAGAGCAGACGAGCCACAGGCAGGCACACAGACAGACACACAGACACUCGCACGCACCCACGCCAAGGGAGACAGCUGGCCUGCGCAAGCUCCUCAGCCAGAGCCAGAGCGCCUGGGAGAGGCCGGGGCCAGACGAACGGGCCGGCGGCUGGCUGUCAGGAGAUACAGAGGCAGAAAUACAUGAAGAUUCCGAGACAGACUCCAAGACGGCAAGAGGAGAUACACACACACACACACACACACACACACACACACACACACACACUUGAGUGUGGUCUUUGGAAAUACUUGUGUUCGUAGUUGCUGGGUUGAGCCCAACUUUAAUACAACCCAUGGACUGCGGCCCAUCAGGCUCCUCUGUCCGUGGCAUUUCCCAGGCGAGGAUACUGGAGUGGGUUGCCAUUUCCUUCUCCGGCGGGAUCUUCCCCACCCAGGGAUCAAACCCCAGUCUC